GACGAACGCUGGCGGCGUGCUUAACACAUGCAAGUCGAGCGGAAAGGCCCUGCUUUUGUGGGGUGCUCGAGUGGCGAACGGGUGAGUAACACGUGAGUAACCUGCCCUUGACUUUGGGAUAACUUCAGGAAACUGGGGCUAAUACCGGAUAGGAGCUCCUGCUGCAUGGUGGGGGUUGGAAAGUUUCGGCGGUUGGGGAUGGACUCGCGGCUUAUCAGCUUGUUGGUGGGGUAGUGGCUUACCAAGGCUUUGACGGGUAGCCGGCCUGAGAGGGUGACCGGCCACAUUGGGACUGAGAUACGGCCCAGACUCCUACGGGAGGCAGCAGCGGGGAAUAUUGCACAAUGGGCGGAAGCCUGAUGCAGCAACGCCGCGUGCGGGAUGACGGCCUUCGGGUUGUAAACCGCUUUCGCCUGUGACGAAGCGUGAGUGACGGUAAUGGGUAAAGAAGCACCGGCUAACUACGUG
Molecule: ribosomal RNA, 468 nt
Filed under: uncultured bacterium
Lineage: Bacteria
Description: partial 16S ribosomal RNA
Rfam family: Bacterial small subunit ribosomal RNA
Source: RNAcentral